Molecule: ribosomal RNA, 1095 nt
Filed under: Triticum aestivum (bread wheat)
Lineage: Eukaryota; Viridiplantae; Streptophyta; Magnoliopsida; Poales; Poaceae
Description: partial small subunit ribosomal RNA
Source: RNAcentral
AUGGCAGCCAAGUCUUCACAGACCAUGACAAUCCCCACCGACGCUGAGCUGGUCCAGGCGCCGGCGGACCUUUGGCGCCACUGCCUCAGCUACCUCACACCAAUGGCGUUCAGUUGCGCCAUCCAGCUCGGCAUCCCUACCGCGAUCCAUCGUCUUGGCGGUGCCGCGUCGUUGCCGGACCUGGUCACCGCGCUGUCCCUCCCGCCAUCCAAGGCGCCGUUCCUCAGCCGCCUCCUGCGGCUGCUUUCCACGACGGGGGUGCUGGCGUCAAACGAGGCUGGGAUCUACAGACUCGUCCCACUGUCCUACCUCCUCGUGGAUGGUGUACGCAUCGACGGUGAUGCUAGUCAGAUGGCUCUUGUGCUCGCCGUGACCUCCCGGCACUACAUGGAGGCGGCCAUGGGGCUGGCCGACUGGUUCAAGAAGGAUAUCGCACCGCCCGUGCCGUCACCAUUCGAGGAAGUGCACGGCGCGGCACUCUUCGAGGAGAGUAUGGCGGUCCUUGACCCAGAGUGUGACAAGUUGUUCAAUGAAGCUUUAGCUGCCCAUGACCAUAUGGGAAUUGGUACAAUAUUGCGGGAAUGUCAUGGCCUAUUCAGUGGCUUGCAGUCGCUCACAGACUGUUGUGGUGGUGAUGGAACGACAGUCAGGUCCAUCGUUAAGGCCUACCCGCAUAUAAAGUGCGAUGUGUUGGACCUUCCAAAGGUGGUUGAUAAAGCUCCAAGCGAUGGUCUCGUUAACUAUGUCGCCGGUGACAUGUUCCAUUCCAUCCCACCUGCUCAAGCUGUAAUGCUCAAGCUUGUUCUACACUUCUGGGGUGAUGAGGACUGCAUCAAUAUCCUAGCCCAAUGCAAGAAGGCCAUUCCUUCCCGAGAAGCAGGAGGAAAAGUGAUUAUCAUAGACAUUGUGGUUGACUCUUCUUCAGGACAGAUGUUCGAAACCCAACUGCUGAUGGAUAUGGCAAUGAUGGUAUAUACCAGGGGACGACAGCGGGAUGAAAAUGAAUGGAGUUCCAUCUUUGCGAAAGCAGGGUUUAGUGACUACAAAAUUGUCAAGAAACUUGGAGCUCGGGGUGUCAUCGAGGUCUACCCAUAA